This 253-nucleotide ribosomal RNA is filed under the name uncultured bacterium. Its description in RNAcentral is "partial 16S ribosomal RNA". It matches the Rfam family "Bacterial small subunit ribosomal RNA", at positions 524 to 776 of the family's 1533-position model. The record is from RNAcentral.
UACGGAGGGUGCAAGCGUUAAUCGGAAUUACCGGGCGUAAAGCGUGCGCAGGCGGUUUGGUAAGUCUGUUGUGAAAUCCCCGAGCUCAACUUGGGAAUUGCAAUGGAUACUGGCAGGCUGGAGUAUGGUAGAGGAAGGUGGAAUUCCUGGUGUAGCGGUGAAAUGCGCAGAUAUCAGGAGGAACACCGAUGGCGAAGGCAGGUCUCUGGGCCGAUACUGACGCUGAGGAGCGAAAGCGUGGGGAGCGAACAGG